Molecule: long non-coding RNA, 212 nt
Filed under: Carica papaya (papaya)
Lineage: Eukaryota; Viridiplantae; Streptophyta; Magnoliopsida; Brassicales; Caricaceae
Description: long non-coding RNA (CPAP_LNC002158)
Source: RNAcentral
AGUUAGGGCAAAUACCCCCCUGCACCAACAGUCUACUAGGCUCCCUAAGUAGGGGAUAAUCUCACACGAAGUGCUGGGUAUUGCCACAUCGGUAACAUCCUUAACUAACAGUUAUACACGAGUGAUCUCCAUGACUCCUGGCACAUCAUGGACAAUCUGUACUCCUUGAGGUUAUCUAGUGACCUGGAGUUAAGUUUUACAUUGUUCUCUAU